This 571-nucleotide ribosomal RNA is filed under the name uncultured bacterium. RNAcentral describes it as "partial 16S ribosomal RNA". It matches the Rfam family "Bacterial small subunit ribosomal RNA", at positions 355 to 919 of the family's 1533-position model. The record is from RNAcentral.
UGGGGAAUUUUGGACAAUGGGCGAAAGCCUGAUCCAGCAAUGCCGCGUGUGUGAAGAAGGCCUUCGGGUUGUAAAGCACUUUUGUCCGGAAAGAAAUCCUUGGCUCUAAUACAGUCGGGGGAUGACGGUACCGGAAGAAUAAGCACCGGCUAACUACGUGCCAGCAGCCGCGGUAAUACGUAGGGUGCAAGCGUUAAUCGGAAUUACUGGGCGUAAAGCGUGCGCAGGCGGUUUGCUAAGACCGAUGUGAAAUCCCCGGGCUCAACCUGGGAACUGCAUUGGUGACUGGCAGGCUAGAGUAUGGCAGAGGGGGGUAGAAUUCCACGUGUAGCAGUGAAAUGCGUAGAGAUGUGGAGGAAUACCGAUGGCGAAGGCAGCCCCCUGGGCCAAUACUGACGCUCAUGCACGAAAGCGUGGGGAGCAAACAGGAUUAGAUACCCUGGUAGUCCACGCCCUAAACGAUGUCAACUAGUUGUCGGGGAUUCAUUUCCUUAGUAACGUAGCUAACGCGUGAAGUUGACCGCCUGGGGAGUACGGUCGCAAGAUUAAAACUCAAAGGAAUUGACGGGGU